Aquila chrysaetos chrysaetos is the source of this 1360-nucleotide long non-coding RNA. RefSeq lists it as uncharacterized. NCBI's taxonomy places the organism in Eukaryota, Metazoa, Chordata, Aves, Accipitriformes, Accipitridae. The transcript is spliced from 3 exons. The record is from RefSeq and is a predicted model, not a curated record.
AGUCUGCUAGAACCCCAGUUGUGUUACUCUUGAUUGGUCUGCUGUGAGCAUAGAUUUUUUUGCAGGGAACUGAGGUUUUACUAUUUGAGCACAGAUUUAUCAAUUGGCUGUUUACAAUCUCCCAAGUCCUAUUUACAGUUCAACCAGACUUUCAUUUUUCAUACAGGUGAAAACUAAGAACUGAAUAUCAAACGCACAGUUCUUUAAUCAGUGUUUGAAGUCUGAACUUAAAAUUCUUUUGGAAACAAGGUCAGGUAUUAAAAAUUAAUCUCAAUUGAACCGCUAGGUUUAAAUACAUUCCUAGAAGCAAGUUUUCUUUGUUAUGGUAUACCGAAAGACUAAGACUGAAUUUUUAUUUCUUUGACAACUACUUCUGAAAAUAAGAUGAAUUCUAUGUUUCUAUGAAGAGUAGUGAGCUUCUAAGUAGUGCUGCAUUUAAGGUGGGGAAAUUGAAUCUAAUGAACUAAAUAACCAACCAUUACCAGGAUCUGCCUCAGGCUGUAUAGGAUUCAAAGACCUGAAAUUAAGUCCUGUAAUUAGACCAGGCCCUGCGUCCAAGUGAAAUGAUAAACAACUUACUAUAGCCUUCACAGCUGAAACACAGUCUUAGCAAUAUUGUCCAGGCAACUUUUGAUUUAACUGGUGUGGGAAAUCAUCGGUAACUCGGUAAGUGCAACAGACGUUUAAAUCCAGCCUUGAAGCAUGAAGUUAGAAGUAGUAAAGCACCAACAUUUGGCACAAAAGUGGACUUAUGUCACUGUUUAAGUCUGGUUCUUGAGAUACCAACAGGAAGAAUCAAAGAUAAAUCAAAUGAGACAUUUGCAGGAAAAAUAGAGUGAAACAGCCUCUAAUGCACAGGUAAGGCUGGCUAACCUGGGAGAUCUUUUCGAUGCUUUUUAUCAAAUUCUGAGAACUCUCUCUUCCAGAUUUCUGUUUCUUUUUUAAGGCCAAAAACCUUUGUCUCCCUUGCCAAUAUGAAAUGAAAUACAAGAAGAUAAUGACUACAAAUAGCACAAAACAGAAUCGCCUGGCAGAAGUCAGAGAGCACGAUGCUUGCAUAUAGGAUAUGUUAAUUUUCUACCCUGCAAUACAAAUUGUCUUUAUUUAAAGCCACUGUUGGGGAAAAAAGCAAGCUGGCAAUGUGCAAGCCUAUCAUUGUGCAGUACUUGUAAAUGAAUUAUCAGAUUAUCUACAUAAAUGAAUGCAAUUACUGUCAAACUGCAUACUGCAAAUGUUACCCCAUUAUAUUGUGCCUGAAGAGGCACAAAUUUAUUGUCCAUUUCCUGUUUAAUCACACCUAGUGAAGACUUACUGAAUCCUCACCAUUUUUACUUGUGCAGCUUACAAACUGGCAACGCUA